Molecule: long non-coding RNA, 1658 nt
Organism: Tachysurus fulvidraco (yellow catfish)
Lineage: Eukaryota; Metazoa; Chordata; Actinopteri; Siluriformes; Bagridae
Exons: 4
Source: RefSeq, a predicted model, not a curated record
UCUUGCUCCUGAUACACAUGGUGGUCCAAUGGUGAACCCUUUCACUACAGAGGGAAGCUACACCUAAGCAUCCAUGCAGUUUGUGAAACAUUUACAAAAACAAGUCAACACGAGACUUUUAUCUGAACACAGGCACAAAUAACUACUCCUCUGACCGAGUACAAGUAUUCCACUGGCUGCUGCUCUCCAUACUAAGUCUUUGGGUCCACUGAGGAGUCUGAACUGGAGGUGGAAGGCUGCAGUUCUGCUGGAUAACUGGACCAGCCCCUGACCCCCUUUUUCUUUGGGAAGAUGGAGGAUGCUUUGCAGAAUCCAGUGUAGGCCGUCCCAGAAGAAAUCCACCAGCAGGGCCUGGAUGUUUACUAGCAGGUUUGGUGGCAGAUCCAUGCAUGCCAGCUUGUGCCAGAUGGACGACGCGGCAAGACACUUUGAUCUCAGAGGCAGAGAAAACAAGCAGUGAAUGGGAAGCAACUGACUCAGAGGCCAUGAAUGUGGAUCCACCCUGCUAGUCGUAACCAGUCAAAUUCCCGCUUCUUCUGUUCCGCUACAAGGCUCACAAGAAGCGCAGCUCAACAACCCAGGAUUCAAAUGAUCCAAAUCUAUCAGGCUGUCGGAGGAUCUCCUGUGCGCCCUGUUGAAGACAUCCUAUACUUUUCCAUAGGAUUGACCUGGACUGGGCCUUUCCAAAACCUUGAAGUUUUUUCUUUGUUAGCUUGGAUUUGUUCUCAUGCUGAAAGGUGAGAUUCUUCAUCUUAAGCUGACUUCAGAGGCCUGUAUGGUAGGGUUAAUAUCAAAAUAUUUGUGCCAGAUAUGUUGCUUUUGGACCCUUGUCAGCCUCCCUGAAGUUUAGGUAAUUUCCACUCCAUCUGUAAGCAUUUUCUUCAAGGAAUAUGAUAAUGACUAAUAGUUAUGGAGAGUUAAGAGUUACGCUGACUAGUGAAAUUUGGGGUCAAUACUCUCACUUAAAAUGUUCAGUAUUUUGUCUUAUAUGCAUAUAUAAAAAGACACAGAAGAAAUGUGCACCAACCAGUGAGCAAUGUGUAUUUCUUUUUAUUACUAUUAUUAUUAUAUUCUAUUUUAUCAUUUACAGUAGUGUUUUGACUAUAAAACUACAUGACAAUCUACUUUUUUUUAAAAAUAAAUGUUUUUGUAUAUUUUUAUUUUAUUUAUUUUUUUAUUUUGCCGCUAGCAAGUAUUUUUAAAGAACCAUAUAAAAAAUCAUUUGAGUCCAAGUGAAAAAUCCACUGUCCUCGUGUGACAUAUUGAAACGUUAGCUUUUUUUGUUAUUCUGCUAUUUACUACACAUAUAUAUCAUCUACGAAAACUUUACAUGAUUACAUAUAUGAACAAAACGGUAUGUAUUUCUCGGCAUGAACGACUAUAAGUUUAAAAACUGUAGUAUUUGAACACCACAAAUGACUAAGAAUAGUAUUCUGUUGCAAAGCUGUUGUUGGAAGAGAGACAUUUACAGUAGCAAGUACUUUGCUUUUUUCAGAAUUGUACUGAAUUUUGUCCCUUUCCCUCUUGACAAAUCAUCUUCACUUCCCCAAGGUUAAGAUGCUCCAUCUAAUCACCCUUCUAAUACUUUCUUAAAACCUGGAUUUAUGUCACAGCUGAAUGAGAAAUUCUAAAUAAAACUCACUGAACGUAUCUUAUAA